Drosophila melanogaster (fruit fly) is the source of this 74-nucleotide non-coding RNA. Its record names the gene mir-12. The record is from Ensembl. NCBI's taxonomy places the organism in Eukaryota, Metazoa, Arthropoda, Insecta, Diptera, Drosophilidae.
UACGGUUGAGUAUUACAUCAGGUACUGGUGUGCCUUAAAUCCAACAACCAGUACUUAUGUCAUACUACGCCGUG